This is a long non-coding RNA of Lates calcarifer (barramundi perch), 1342 nucleotides long. RefSeq lists it as uncharacterized. The transcript is spliced from 6 exons. The record is from RefSeq and is a predicted model, not a curated record. Lineage: Eukaryota; Metazoa; Chordata; Actinopteri; Centropomidae.
UAAUUCCUAAAUGAGAUCUAGAUAUGCAAGGUGGGAUUCCUGGAGGGGUUGUAUUUACUUAUUCUCAUAAACGCAUAUUGACCCAUGUAAUAUUGAAAAUCCAUCACGCGGGACAUAUUAGUGCAGAUCGAAUACUUUUACUCGAAGUAUUUUGCUGAGAACACGUCUGAGCUUUUACUAAAGUAGUGGGGCUCUGAAUGCAUGUCUUUUACUUGUAGUGGAGUAUUUGUACACAGACGUAUUGGUACUAUGACGGAAGUAAAGGGCCUGCAUACUUCCUACAUCCACCGUCUCUGGCUGUGAUUGUCAGUCAUUGAUGUUGUUAGCUGAUAGCUGACUUAGCUAUAUCAGCGUCGGUCGCCAUGGUGACUGGGGAGAGACGGUGCAAGCGUCAGGAAAAUGACCUGUGGUGUUUAACAAACCAGAGGUUGAAACACGGUGCUCGUCUUUCACACUCGCUUUUCACUGCAGGGGAAGGAUGUCGCUGCAACAUGGGGGAUGAAGAGGAAUUUGCACCUGGGCCACUUUGAAGCAGGUGGCAGCGAGUGUCAGGAGGGCUCCCUCUGCUGGUGACAAUGACAACCUGCUCUUACAGGAAAAAAAGGUGAUGUGGAAAGAUGAGAUGAUCACAACAUAAUAGCGAUGCCGGGAAGAGGUGUCACCACUUCAUCCACGAUCAGUCUUUGUACAAUGAAGUAGUUCUUUGAAACCAGCACUGAGGCCUCCAGGACUCAAACUUCAACCACAGAGAGAAGAGACAGAUGUGAAGACAUUUCCAGAAGGGCUUCAGCUGCUGUCGUCUUCUCCUCCUGCAGAGACAAGAACACGUGUUAAUCACAGAAACUGAUCAUUAAAUCUAUUUUGCCUUUCCUAAACUGUCCUUAUUCAUACCUAAUUGCCAAGAAAUGUCAGCUUAGUUCAAAUCAUUGUAGGUUUUGAUGCCCUUUUAUACUACAACAUUAUUCACAGUUGUUAUGCCCUACUAUAUGAUGACUUUCAAAAGACAAAGGAGCUGUCUUAAAGCAGCCAUCUUACCUUUGUUUUCCACAGACAUUCACGCACUCACAUCUACACCGUGUUUGGGGGUUAUGUAAGAUUUUGUGUUUGUCAUUUAAUUUAGGUAUUUGCUAUUUCAAAUAUCAGUUCUCAAAUCCAGUCUAUUGCUGUGUACAUAGUUCUGUUUAAUUUGUUCAUGUUGUUUACAAUUUUUAUAUAUUGUCUUGCCUUAUAUCUUGUCUUGUUCAUAUACCUUUUUCUAUUUUUGCUGCUGCAACACUGAAUUUCCCCACUGUGGGACUAAUUCAGGAUUACUGUACUGUUUGUCAAAUAAAUACUUCUGAAC